This 491-nucleotide ribosomal RNA is filed under the name uncultured bacterium. RNAcentral's name for it is "bacterial SSU rRNA". It matches the Rfam family "Bacterial small subunit ribosomal RNA", at positions 30 to 516 of the family's 1533-position model. The record is from RNAcentral.
AUUGAACGCUGGCGGCAUGCCUUACACAUGCAAGUCGAACGGUAACGGGCCUUCGGGUGCCGACGAGUGGCGAACGGGUGAGUAAUGCAUCGGAACGUACCUUUCAGUGGGGGAUAACGUAGCGAAAGUUACGCUAAUACCGCAUAUUCUGUGAGCAGGAAAGCAGGGGAUCGCAAGACCUUGCGCUGAUUGAGCGGCCGAUGUCAGAUUAGCUAGUUGGUGAGGUAAAGGCUCACCAAGGCGACGAUCUGUAGCGGGUCUGAGAGGAUGAUCCGCCACACUGGAACUGAGACACGGUCCAGACUCCUACGGGAGGCAGCAGUGGGGAAUUUUGGACAAUGGGGGCAACCCUGAUCCAGCCAUGCCGCGUGAGUGAAGAAGGCCUUCGGGUUGUAAAGCUCUUUCGGCCGGGAAGAAAUCGCAUGGGUUAAUACCCUGUGCGGAUGACGGUACCGGCAUAAGAAGCACCGGCUAACUACGUGCCAGCACGG